GAUGAACGCUGGCGGCGUGCCUAAUACAUGCAAGUCGAGCGAACAGACGAGGAGCUUGCUCCUCUGACGUUAGCGGCGGACGGGUGAGUAACACGUGGAUAACCUACCUAUAAGACUGGGAUAACUUCGGGAAACCGGAGCUAAUACCGGAUAAUAUAUUGAACCGCAUGGUUCAAUAGUGAAAGACGGUUUUGCUGUCACUUAUAGAUGGAUCCGCGCCGCAUUAGCUAGUUGGUAAGGUAACGGCUUACCAAGGCAACGAUGCGUAGCCGACCUGAGAGGGUGAUCGGCCACACUGGAACUGAGACACGGUCCAGACUCCUACGGGAGGCAGCAGUAGGGAAUCUUCGGCAAUGGGCGAAAGCCUGACGGAGCAACGCCGCGUGAGUGAUGAAGGUCUUCGGAUCGUAAAACUCUGUUAUUAGGGAAGAACAAAUGUGUAAGAAACUAUGCACGUCUUGACGGUACCUAAUCAGAAAGCCACGGCUAACUACGUG
RNAcentral lists this ribosomal RNA (497 nucleotides) under uncultured bacterium. RNAcentral describes it as "partial 16S ribosomal RNA". It matches the Rfam family "Bacterial small subunit ribosomal RNA", at positions 28 to 507 of the family's 1533-position model. The record is from RNAcentral.